Molecule: transfer RNA, 70 nt
Filed under: Cecidomyiidae sp. 3 LC-2017
Lineage: Eukaryota; Metazoa; Arthropoda; Insecta; Diptera; Cecidomyiidae
Description: tRNA-Phe
Source: RNAcentral
AAUAUUAUGACUGAUAAAAGUAAUAAAUUGAAAAUUUAUAAAUUUUAUUAUUUCGAAGAUAAUUCUAUUU